GUUCCGUGCCACCGAAGUUUCCCACCGAGGACCCCGAUUACCGAAUCCUUAAAAGGAACUGGUCCCGCUAUACGCACUACUACUUCUACAUCCGCGACGAAGUGCUCGGCCCCAUGGCGAUGUGCGUCGGCUCCUUCCUCCCCUUCCAGACCACCUAUUACAUCAAUGGCCAUCACUUCAUGGCCGGGGAACUCCAGCGC
RNAcentral lists this unclassified non-coding RNA (200 nucleotides) under uncultured bacterium. RNAcentral describes it as "contains 16S-23S intergenic spacer region". The record is from RNAcentral.